Molecule: RNase P RNA, 394 nt
Filed under: Alphaproteobacteria bacterium
Lineage: Bacteria; Pseudomonadati; Pseudomonadota; Alphaproteobacteria
Also listed under: 1 other name
Description: RNase P RNA component class A
Rfam family: Bacterial RNase P class A
About the family: Ribonuclease P (RNase P) is a ubiquitous endoribonuclease, found in archaea, bacteria and eukarya as well as chloroplasts and mitochondria.
Source: RNAcentral
CCAGACGGUCGGAUGACCGCCUCCGUUCUCGGACGGGGGAGGAAAGUCCGGGCUCCACGGGAACACGGUGCCGGGUAACGCCCGGCGGGGGCGACCCCAGGGAAAGUGCCACAGAAAGCAAACCGCCCGUAUCGCUUCGGCCACGCGGGUAAGGGUGAAAGGGUGCGGUAAGAGCGCACCGCGUUGCCGGCAACGGCGACGGCAAGGUAAACCCCACCGGGAGCAAGACCAAAUAGGGACGGUCGGCUGGUUCGGCCAGCAGGGGUGUUUCCGCCUCACCGUCCGGGUCGGUUGCGCGAGGCGCCUGGCGACAGGCGUCCCAGAUGAAUGGUCAUCCCGGCCGCUGUUUCGGCGGCGGCGCGGACAGAACCCGGCUUACAGACCGUCUGGCACC